AACCAUGAUAAUCAAAUACUACGUCAUGAAUAUUAAUAAUACUACAACAACAACCAGUGCUUUGUAGCUAAGAUGGUAAGUAAGAUGGUCACUAUCCUCUCAUAAAUUGGUUGAACACAACUCGUGCAUCAUGUGUCAAGGGUCAUCUUAAAUUCUUAAUUUUCCAUUUUCUUCAGCCUUUUUCAAUCACUUUUUUUUUUCCUCUUCUAACUUGUAUUCUCAUAAUUUCAUCCAAAUACUCUAAGAAUCGACAUCUAAAAGAAGGAAUAAUAAAUGGAAUAAUAUGGUUUUUUCGUGGCACUUACACAUACAUGUGGUGUUUCCUUUUAUUUAUUAUUUAUUUAUUUAUCGGUGUUUGUCAUUUCAUCCUAGCUGUGCAAUUUCUCCUCGUUGAAAUACAACUCCACGAGAUUCCUUUGGUUGCUGAUAAAGUUCCAAAUCCUGGUGAUACUGUGUUGUACCUUUACGUUAAACCAACAGCAGAAUGGAAUAUUUAUAUAAUUAAGCUCCAAUCUCAGUGCAUGAAGUGCAUAUUAAAUGGUUAAAUGAGAUCAAGAAAAAGAGUUAAUUAAUGAACAUAAUUGCUAAGGCUUAGGUUGCUGUCGCUUAAUAGUUUGCGCCGGCAGCAAAUUAUAGAAACAAGAUACAUUCUACCAAGUGAUGAAGAGUUAAAUAAUGGCAUGUCCUAAUCUAAGCUCCACUCAUAAUCACCCUCUACAUUAUUGGGAUUAUUAUUUUACCAUAAUUAUUGAAUGCAUAAACCAUGAGAUCACUUUGAAAAUAAUUUAACACCUAAACAAACAUAUGGCACACACACAUAUAUGGUUGGGGAAUGGACGUGUAACAUUUUUUUAAUCACAAAUCUCAACCAUUGACCCAAUCCUUUUUUUUUCUUUUCCUUCAGUAUUCUCCCCAAGUGGAGUUUUACGUUUCAUUUUUUUCCUCCAUUAAUCUCAUUUUACACCAAUUUAAAACAUGUGAUGCACUUCUUUUGAUUGCAUGUACUCUAGAGAUAGAGAGAGGGAAAUAAUUUAAGAAGAGGGGUAUCACAGCACAACCUGAUCAGAGAGAAGUCACAUGGUGAUGAUUUUGAAGAUCACAGAAGUGGGGUCUCAUUAUGCAGUGACUGAGUUAGGGUUGUGGCAUGGCAGUGGCAAGACAUUAGAAGAUUGAAAAUGAAAGAAGAAUAUGCAAUGUGUGAUUUUUUGGUCCCAAAAGAAGUAAGGUUAUGCAGAUUGUGGCACUAUUGUUGAAGCAACUUUACACUGUAAACAAAGGCAAAAUUGAAUGAUGGAUGUCAACUUUUUUAGGAGAAGUAAUUGCCUAUCCCAAACAAUCCCCACAUGCAUGUCUUUCCAUGUGAUUUUGGACAUCUUCGGGUCCCUGCUCCUAAUCAUGUCCAUAUAAAGUUUAUGUGUAGGGUUUCAACCCAAGUUACAUUCACAUAAUCAUUUUACUUUUUCCUUUUCCUAAUAAUAACACCUAUUUUUCACUCU
This is a long non-coding RNA of Vigna unguiculata (cowpea), 1496 nucleotides long. The record is from RefSeq and is a predicted model, not a curated record. Lineage: Eukaryota; Viridiplantae; Streptophyta; Magnoliopsida; Fabales; Fabaceae.